UACAGAGGUCUCAAGCGUUGUUCGGACUCAUUGGGCGUAAAGGGUGCGUAGGUGGCGAUGUAAGUCGGGUGUGAAAUCUCCAAGCUCAACUUGGAAACUGCACUCGAUACUGCGUCGCUCGAGGACUGUAGAGGGCAUUGGAAUUCACGGUGUAGCAGUGAAAUGCGUAGAUAUCGUGAGGAAGACCAGUGGCGAAGGCGAAUGCCUGGGCAGUUCCUGACACUGAGGCACGAAGGCCAGGGGAGCAAACGGGAUUAGAUACCCCGGUAGUCCUGGCAGUAAACGGUGCACGUUUGGUGUGGGAGGAUUCGACCCCUUCCGUGCCGGAGCAAACGCGUUAAACGUGCCGCCUGGGGAGUACGGUCGCAAGAUUAAAACUCAAAGAAAUUGACGGGGACCCGCACAAGCGGUGGAGUAUGUGGCUUAAUUCGAUGCAACGCGAAGAACCUUACCUGGCCUUGACAUGCAUCUCUAAUCCGGUGAAAGCCGGUGAGUGUAGCAAUACACAAUUUGCACAGGUGCUGCAUGGCUGUCGUCAGCUCGUGUCGUGAGAUGUUGGGUUAAGUCCCGCAACGAGCGCAACCCCUGUGAACUGUUGCCAUGGAGACGUGAGUCUCCGGCACUCUGUUCAGACUGCCCUGUUCAACGGGGAGGAAGGUGGGGACGACGUCAAGUCAGUAUGGCCCUUACGGCCAGGGCUGCACACGUACUACAAUGCCCGAAACAGAAGGAUCCGAGACCGCGAGGUGGAGGAAAUCACGAAAUUCGGGCCCAGUUCGGAUUGGAGGCUGCAACUCGCCUCCAUGAAGCCGGAAUCGCUAGUAAUGGCGCAUCAGCUACGGCGCCGUGAAUACGUUCCCGGGUCU
RNAcentral lists this ribosomal RNA (866 nucleotides) under uncultured bacterium. Its description in RNAcentral is "SSU rRNA". It matches the Rfam family "Bacterial small subunit ribosomal RNA", at positions 524 to 1381 of the family's 1533-position model. The record is from RNAcentral.